GGGGAGGAAAGAGAAAGUGAAUGAGGGUCAAGAGAGGACAAGAAGAGAAGAAAGAGAAAAGGGGGAGAGAGAGGAGAGCAAAGAGCAGAGUCAGUGUCGACACCAGUGAGGCCGUGAAUGGUGAAUCCAGAGGAAUGAUGAUGACUGACUGAACAUUUUCCCCAUUUUCUCCUGCAACUGUGCAUCGAUCUGGAGCUGAAACUAAAACUAAUGCCGCGUCUCACAGGGUCUCUUCCAUUUUUGUCCUUGAGUUUUUUUUUUGUUGGGAAGUUUGUCUUUGUUGUGUCGGGAACAUGCUGUGCAUUUCUUUAAAGCCCACUGAGACAUUGUAUGUGAUGCUGGGCUUGUGCAAUGGCCGAUGAACUUGACUCAUCUUGACCUGACUCGACCCCAUGUGUUACUGCAGCUGCUGUAAAUGCAAGCAAGCUCAUAGUCAACUUGUCCGGAUCAAUGAUACAUUAAAUCAUACAAUGUGUCCUUGCA
Molecule: long non-coding RNA, 483 nt
Organism: Seriola aureovittata
Lineage: Eukaryota; Metazoa; Chordata; Actinopteri; Carangiformes; Carangidae
Exons: 2
Source: RefSeq, a predicted model, not a curated record